UAAAAUAAUGUCUGGGAAAUGCCUGAUGGAGGGGGACACCUACUGGAAACGGUAGCUAAUACCGCAUAACGUCGCAAGACCAAAGAGGGGGACCUUCGGGCCUCUUGCCAUCAGAUGUGCCCAGAUGGGAUUAGCUAGUAGGUGGGGUAAUGGCUCACCUAGGCGACGAUCCCUAGCUGGUCUGAGAGGAUGACCAGCCACACUGGAACUGAGACACGGUCCAGACUCCUACGGGAGGCAGCAGUGGGGAAUAUUGCACAAUGGGCGCAAGCCUGAUGCAGCCAUGCCGCGUGUGUGAAGAAGGCCUUCGGGUUGUAAAGCACUUUCAGCGAGGAGGAAGGUGGUGAGCUUAAUACGCUCAUCAAUUGACGUUACACGCAGAAGAAGCACCGGCUAACUCCGUGCCAGCAGCCGCGGUAAUACGGAGGGUGCAAGCGUUAAUCGGAAUUACUGGGCGUAAAGCGCACGCAGGCGGUUUGUUAAGUCAGAUGUGAAAUCCCCGGG
This 504-nucleotide ribosomal RNA is filed under the name uncultured bacterium. RNAcentral describes it as "bacterial SSU rRNA". It matches the Rfam family "Bacterial small subunit ribosomal RNA", at positions 107 to 607 of the family's 1533-position model. The record is from RNAcentral.